CCUACGGGAGGCAGCAGUGGGGAAUAUUGCACAAUGGGCGAAAGCCUGAUGCAGCGACGCCGCGUGAGGGAUGACGGCCUUCGGGUUGUAAACCUCUUUCAGCAGGGAAGAAGCGAAAGUGACGGUACCUGCAGAAGAAGCGCCGGCUAACUACGUGCCAGCAGCCGCGGUAAUACGUAGGGCGCAAGCGUUGUCCGGAAUUAUUGGGCGUAAAGAGCUCGUAGGCGGCUUGUCACGUCGGGUGUGAAAGCCCGGGGCUUAACCCCGGGUCUGCAUUCGAUACGGGCUAGCUAGAGUGUGGUAGGGGAGAUCGGAAUUCCUGGUGUAGCGGUGAAAUGCGCAGAUAUCAGGAGGAACACCGGUGGCGAAGGCGGAUCUCUGGGCCAUUACUGACGCUGAGGAGCGAAAGCGUGGGGAGCGAACAGGAUUAGAUACCCUGGUAGUCCACGCCGUAAACGGUGGGAACUAGGUGUUGGCGACAUUCCACGUCGUCGGUGCCGCAGCUAACGCAUUAAGUUCCCGCCUGGGGAGUACGGCCGCGAAGGCUAAAACGUCAAAGGAAUUGACGGCGUUGAGAGUUGCGAGCGCGACGAGGGAGAGG
RNAcentral lists this ribosomal RNA (601 nucleotides) under uncultured bacterium. RNAcentral's name for it is "bacterial SSU rRNA". It matches the Rfam family "Bacterial small subunit ribosomal RNA", at positions 338 to 950 of the family's 1533-position model. The record is from RNAcentral.